This 468-nucleotide ribosomal RNA is filed under the name uncultured bacterium. RNAcentral's name for it is "partial 16S ribosomal RNA". It matches the Rfam family "Bacterial small subunit ribosomal RNA", at positions 28 to 507 of the family's 1533-position model. The record is from RNAcentral.
GACGAACGCUGGCGGCGUGCUUAACACAUGCAAGUCGAACGGAAAGGCCCUGCUUUUGUGGGGUGCUCGAGUGGCGAACGGGUGAGUAACACGUGAGUAACCUGCCCUAGACUUUGGGAUAACUUCAGGAAACUGGGGCUAAUACCGGAUAGGAGCUCCUGCUGCAUGGUGGGGGUUGGAAAGUUUCGGCGGUUGGGGAUGGACUCGCGGCUUAUCAGCUUGUUGGUGGGGUAGUGGCUUACCAAGGCUUUGACGGGUAGCCGGCCUGAGAGGGUGACCGGCCACAUUGGGACUGAGAUACGGCCCAGACUCCUACGGGAGGCAGCAGUGGGGAAUAUUGCACAAUGGGCGGAAGCCUGAUGCAGCAACGCCGCGUGCGGGAUGACGGCCUUCGGGUUGUAAACCGCAUUCGCCUGUGACGAAGCGUGAGUGACGGUAAUGGGUAAAGAAGCACCGGCUAACUACGUG